CGCGGUAGUUGGCGUACGGAUGCUGCGGAUCGCUCAGGUCGUUCUUCAGCAGUGUGGCGAUCUUUUCGCCACUGGCGCGG
This 80-nucleotide transfer RNA is filed under the name Xanthomonas citri pv. fuscans. RNAcentral's name for it is "tRNA-Leu". The record is from RNAcentral. Lineage: Bacteria; Pseudomonadati; Pseudomonadota; Gammaproteobacteria; Lysobacterales; Lysobacteraceae.